This 301-nucleotide ribosomal RNA is filed under the name uncultured bacterium. RNAcentral describes it as "partial 16S ribosomal RNA". It matches the Rfam family "Bacterial small subunit ribosomal RNA", at positions 509 to 807 of the family's 1533-position model. The record is from RNAcentral.
CAGCAGCCACGGUAAUACGUAGGGUGCAAGCGUUAAUCGGAAUUACUGGGCGUAAAGCGUGCGCAGGCGGUUAUAUAAGACAGAUGUGAAAUCCCCGGGCUCAACCUGGGAACUGCAUUUGUGACUGUAUAGCUAGAGUACGGCAGAGGGGGAUGGAAUUCCUCGUGUAGCAGUGAAAUGCGUAGAUAUGCGGAGGAACACCGAUGGCGAAGGCAAUCCCCUGGGCCUGUACUGACGCUCAUGCACGAAAGCGUGGGGAGCAAACAGGAUUAGAUACCCCCGUAGUCCCUGUCUCUUAUAC